GAUGAACGCUGGCGGCGUGCUUAACACAUGCAAGUCGAACGGACUUUAGGAGCUUGCUCCUAGAGUUAGUGGCGGACGGGUGAGUAACGCGUGGGUAACCUGCCCUAUGCAGGGGGAUAACGUUUGGAAACGAACGCUAAUACCGCAUAACCUAGUCGGUUUGCAUGAACUGGCUAGCAAAGAUUUAUCGGCAUAGGAUGGACCCGCGUUAGAUUAGCUAGUUGGUGAGAUAACAGCCCACCAAGGCAACGAUCUAUAGCCGGCCUGAGAGGGUGAACGGCCACACUGGGACUGAGACACGGCCCAGACUCCUACGGGAGGUAGCAGUGGGGAAUAUUGCACAAUGGGCGCAAGCCUGAUGCAGCGACGCCGCGUGAAGGAUGAAGGUCUUCGGAUCGUAAACUUCUAUCAGCAGGGAAGAAUACCAUGACGGUACCUGACUAAGAAGCCCCGGCUAACUACGUGCCAGCAGCCGCAGUAAGAC
RNAcentral lists this ribosomal RNA (484 nucleotides) under uncultured bacterium. Its description in RNAcentral is "bacterial SSU rRNA". It matches the Rfam family "Bacterial small subunit ribosomal RNA", at positions 28 to 526 of the family's 1533-position model. The record is from RNAcentral.